AACUUUUGAAUGGAUAUUAGCAUUAGGAUUAUGGAAUCAUUUUAUGAAAUGGAUUCAAAUUGCAUAGUUUUCCAUCUUUAUGUUCUGGAAACUUCUAUGUGAGAAUUCUAUGUUCCUUAAAUUUUUACAAGAAUUUCUUUUUAAAACUUCCUAAGCAUGGAGACCUUAUGAAAGGUAGUUCUUGCAUAGCAUUCUCAUUUCUUCUCUGUCUAAUGAUCAGUUAACUCAUUUACGCCAGAGGCUGCAAAUUUUUUGUGUGAAAGAUCAGAACUUGGCGAUGACCUUGAGCAGUAGGAUAUAAAUAACUCCCACAAACUUAGCGUUCUAAUAAUAGAACACUAGGCAUAAAUGAGUUAAGGUAUAUACUACUUCUUCGUUUGAGACAGAAUCUUGCUCUGUCACCCAGGCUGGGGUACAGUAGCAUGAUCUUGGCUCACUGCAACCUCCGCCUCCCAGGUUCAAGUGAUUAUCCUGCAGUGAGGUACGAUUGCGCACCCCAGCUUGGGCAACAGAGCAAGACGGUGUCCAAAAAACCCAAAAGACACCCAUUUCACAGAUAUUUUAACAUUUAACAACAUAUAAUUGAGCAUAUACCCACUCGUGACUGCAGCUGGCUUUUGUUGUCAUUAGGUUUGCUAGUCUUGUCUAUCUUCUUCUUGUUGCUCCUUUAAAUAACCAGUUUCUGCAUUUAUUUUGCCUGUGGCUAUCUGUUCCCUAAUUUAUUCCUACGUAACUUUUCAUUACUUUCUUCCUCUGAGUUUCUUUACAGC
This 770-nucleotide long non-coding RNA is filed under the name Homo sapiens (human). RNAcentral's name for it is "HSALNT0342281". Lineage: Eukaryota; Metazoa; Chordata; Mammalia; Primates; Hominidae. The record is from RNAcentral.